UCUUUGCGGUGCACCGGCCUUUCCGCAACAGCUCAUGAGGGCGGUCUCAAAGCCUGCAUAAUGAAAUCAGUCUAUCCAUAAUUAGGUGACAUCUAGGGUUCACAAUUUCAUUUUCUCAGUUCAAAUCUUUGCAACAACAGAAAGAGCAAACGAAAGAAAACUGAUAUUGGUUUUGAUCUGCUCAAACCACUGAAAUUACAUUUGAAUUUAACUGAAACUCAAGAAAAAACUGGCCUGAUUUCAUUUAAGUGAUAUGCUGAUUUGUAUACUGAAACAUAAUAUUUUGGUAACACUGAAACGUUAAAAUGUUGUUCCUGUUCUUGAGCUUAGUGAUGUUUGAAUUAUUGAAUUUGGCUGGUUGCUCAUUUAUUCCUGGCAAAUGUCAAUGCUCCCACCUAAUAAUUAUUCUUUUAGAAGAAAGAAUUGUCAGUUGCUCAUUUCGCGAGGCAUCGAUAACAUGCUUGCCGAGACUCACCAAAUCUUCUGGGAUCUUGCACUAUUUGGUAGAUGUUGCUCGCGAGGUCGGCAUACAUGAUCCUUGUGUGUGAAUGCUUCUUUUGAAGCUUUGAGAGGCUGCUCCGAAGGAAAGAAUUGUGCCUAUUGAACAAGACGUUGUGGUUUGUCAAGCACCCGUAUUUGUCAUAGUCACUUUUGUUGGAGCUCUGGAACAUGUUCAGGUACAAUGGAAAGCACCCCAUAGGAGCAAUGUUUGACACCACAAUGUCAACUGCACCAAGUUUUAUCAAUUCCUGCAUGUUUAGAGCAGAUGUUGGGGGUCAAAGUUACAAACUGCAUGGCUUGGCCACUGUAUUUGUUCAUGUAUUUCUCACUUCUCCAUCUGUAGGGCAUGGUUUCCAAAAUAACAGUUGUGCUUCUCGUGCUCGAGAUAUCAUUUUUCUACCGCUCGCUUGAGAUAUUGUUACUGUUGUAGGGUACUUCGGUCCAACUUAACCAACUAAUUGUUUCAUUGGUGUUCAGGUAAAAAACGACAAGCCUUUGCAAGCAGAGGGAGAACUAUAAAGCUUUGCAGUUACCUGUACGCCGGAUAUGAUGGUGUUCACUAUUCUGGAGAUUGAAGGCAACAAUUGCUGGACAUUGUCGAUUUGGGUGUUCAUGGAGCCGUCGUAGGCAGUGAACUUGAGGCUGGCGUUGGUGUAGUCAAGUACGGCGCCGCCGAUGAUGGCCAUGUUUGCGCCUUGCUGGAAGUCCCUGCGGAGCGCCUUGGAUGGCGGGAGAAACGGCAGCCCUAAUGCUUGCACUACAGUCACUUAAAGUAUGUCAGUGUUAUGACAUUUUCACAAGAAGUUCAGGGAAUGCCCACGUAAAAUUGGGCAAUUUCAGGUUUUCGAAGCCCAGUCAGAUUUGAAAUUUUAGGACACUGCAUAUUUACCCAGGAAGUCGAUGUAGACCCGGCCAUCGCUGCACCGGCAAGUGGGCUUCCCGAAAUAGGUGACACCGUAGGGGAGGCGGGUGAAAAUUCCCACCACACCGGCAGGCCCUGGCAGGCCACCAGUGCAUGUGUUGCCCGUGUCAGAAGCUGAGUCCCCGAAGUUGAAGAUGAUUUUGCACCGCGGUCCACUGCCGCCACCGCUGGCCGCCGCGGCACUAGCUGGAAGUACAAGCAUCAGGUAGCAGUAUGAGAAGAGAGCAGUCGCUGCAACUCCAGCGGUGCCUAUGCUCACGAUGGCCAAGAAGUGUAGAACUAAAACUGAGUAGGUGUGGUAUCAAACUUUCAGUACAACUAGCCAUAAGGAGGAGGAUGUUAGUCUUGAUAGAUAGGUAAUACCUUACAAGGACACCUUUUUAUUUUUUGGGUCAACGUUGCAGAAUGUUGGUGAUAUCGAUGAAGACAUGAGUCAUCGAAUCAAAGGCGGAUGGAUAAAGUGGUGCCAAGCUUCUGGCAUUCUUUAUGGGAAGAUAGUGGCACAAAACCUAAACAACAUGUUUUGUAACAUCACGAUUCGACCUGCAAUGUUGUAUGAUGUUAAGUGUUGACCGACUGAAA
Molecule: long non-coding RNA, 2005 nt
Organism: Hordeum vulgare subsp. vulgare (domesticated barley)
Lineage: Eukaryota; Viridiplantae; Streptophyta; Magnoliopsida; Poales; Poaceae
Exons: 2
Source: RefSeq, a predicted model, not a curated record